This 413-nucleotide ribosomal RNA is filed under the name uncultured bacterium. RNAcentral describes it as "bacterial SSU rRNA". It matches the Rfam family "Bacterial small subunit ribosomal RNA", at positions 8 to 451 of the family's 1533-position model. The record is from RNAcentral.
AGAGUUUGAUCCUGGCUCAGAGCGAACGCUGGCGGCAGGCUUAACACAUGCAAGUCGAGCGCCCCGCAAGGGGAGCGGCAGACGGGAGAGUAACACGUGGGAACGCGCCCUUCGGUUCGGAAUAACUCAGGGAAACUUGAGCUAAUACCGGAUACGCCCUAACGGGGAAAGAUUUAUUGCCGAAGGAACGGCCCGCGUCUGAUUAGCUAGUUGGUGAGGUAAUGGCUCACCAAGGCGACGAUCAGUAGCUGGUCUGAGAGGAUGACCAGCCUCACUGGGACUGAGACACGGCCCAGACUCCUACGGGAGGCAGCAGUGGGGAAUAUUGGACAAUGGGCGCAAGCCUGAUCCAGCCAUGCCGCGUGGAUGAUGAAGGCCUUAGGGUUGUAAAGUCCUUUUAACGGGGAAGAUAA